RNAcentral lists this non-coding RNA (151 nucleotides) under Pseudomonas syringae pv. syringae B728a. RNAcentral describes it as "radC RNA". It matches the Rfam family "radC RNA". The record is from RNAcentral. RNAcentral also lists the same sequence under 1 other name. Lineage: Bacteria; Pseudomonadati; Pseudomonadota; Gammaproteobacteria; Pseudomonadales; Pseudomonadaceae.
AUUCUCAAGACAUGUACCGCUGACGUUGUCAGCAACAUGCCCGGGUAGUCAGGAUCUCACGACUACGAUGCGUCCCACGCAUUGAUCCCUCCCAAAGUUCGCAAAGCUUCCGGAGGCGCGAACGAUCGGUGUUUCAAACGCCGAUGGAUGC